AACUGGUCCCUGAACAGAAGACAGUAUAGUUUAGGACGAGUGCCGGAGGGAUUAUUGGUCUCGUGGCAUUGUCCUUCGAGUCAAACGUGAGAUUUCUCACAUGUCAAAUGGGAAAUUUAUACUUGUGAUGUCACUAAAAAUUCUUGCAUGGGGUGGCAAAUUACGGAACAGCGCGAUGCAUUUUUUCAUACAUCAUUGCUUCUUGUUCUCCACUUCAAACUUCCUUCGAGGCCGUUGAACCACUUACAUAUUUUCAACAUCGUGGAGAUAAUAACAGCUUGGAACAUAUGAACUGUGAUAACCGAGGUAGAUAGUUGGGGAACAAAAAUUAUGACCUACCAGUGCUAGGGGUUUAGGUUGCAGUCUACAUAAAAAGGAUUGGCAAACAAUGCAUCGCCCUCUCCGGCGCGUUGGUAUGCGAGCAUCAUCGUCGGGAGGAGGGUGACGAACCGAGAAUGCCGGCCGGUAGCUACAUGCACUACAGAAAUAAAAGUGACUACACUUAUAUUACACAUUUGAGGUACAAGCGUUAUACGCAAUGGGAGAGUGCCCUUUAAAGGCGCAUCCGUUGCGCAACAUCGUGCGUGCACCGUUACUGCUAUGUGUAGUGUGUCGAAGUAAUCUUCCGUACUUGAGAAUGAGCAACAAGAGAUUAUUCAUUAAUGCUCUUCAACUGUCUAAUAAACCGGAGCACAUCAUGAACUAAUGAGAAUGAACUGAUUCAGUCGUUCGUCAAUACCGAAGAUUUCAACAGGAAAUUUCGCGCCAAACUGUUGAGAAUAUCUUUGACAUUGGCUCGAGCAAACGACCCGUUGUAAACCUCCCGGGGAAUAACGGAAAACACUCGGGUUGUUUAGGAGUUAAGCAGCGCAACAGGUGGGGAACCUCAUAGGCCUUGAGGCAGACAUCUCACCCUGGACGAACCGAGGAUGAAGGACACUCUCGAAGGGUCUCUCGAGCAAACCACAUCGGAUUAUCAAUCUGGCUAUAAUUAUAUCGAGUACUUGAGUAGAAUGUAAAUGUUAAAGAUGGUAAA
Molecule: long non-coding RNA, 1036 nt
Organism: Diachasmimorpha longicaudata
Lineage: Eukaryota; Metazoa; Arthropoda; Insecta; Hymenoptera; Braconidae
Exons: 3
Source: RefSeq, a predicted model, not a curated record